UGGCGAACUCCUACGGGAGGCAGCAGUGGGGAAUUUUGGACAAUGGGCGCAAGCCUGAUCCAGCCAUGCCGCGUGUCUGAAGAAGGCCUUCGGGUUGUAAAGGACUUUUGUCAGGGAAGAAAAGGGCGGGGUUAAUACCCCUGUCUGAUGACGGUACCUGAAGAAUAAGCACCGGCUAACUACAUGCCAGCAGCCGCGGUAAUACGUAGGGUGCGAGCGUUAAUCGGAAUUACUGGCGUAAAGCGGGCGCAGACGGUUACUUAAGCAGGAUGUGAAAUCCCCGGGCUCAACCUGGGAACUUCGUUCUGAACUGGGUGACUAGAGGGUGGCAGAGGGAGGUAGAAUUCCACGUGUAGCAGGGAAAUGCGUAGAGAUGUGGAGGAAUACCGAUGGCGAAGGCAGCCUCCUGGGAUAACACUGACGUUCAUGCCCGAAAGCGUGGGUAGCAAACAGGAUUAGAUACCCCGGUAGUCCAGAGAA
RNAcentral lists this ribosomal RNA (480 nucleotides) under uncultured bacterium. Its description in RNAcentral is "bacterial SSU rRNA". It matches the Rfam family "Bacterial small subunit ribosomal RNA", at positions 329 to 802 of the family's 1533-position model. The record is from RNAcentral.